This 280-nucleotide ribosomal RNA is filed under the name uncultured bacterium. Its description in RNAcentral is "partial 16S ribosomal RNA". It matches the Rfam family "Bacterial small subunit ribosomal RNA", at positions 506 to 784 of the family's 1533-position model. The record is from RNAcentral.
UGCCAGCAGCCGCGGUAAUACGGAGGGAGCUAGCGUUGUUCGGAAUUACUGGGCGUAAAGCGUGCGUAGGCGGUUUUUUAAGUCAGGGGGUGAAAUCCCGGAGCUCAACUCCGGAACUGCCCUUGAAACUAGAAAACUAGAAUCAUGGAGAGGUGAGUGGAAUUCCGAGUGUAGAGGUGAAAUUCGUAGAUAUUCGGAAGAACACCAGUGGCGAAGGCGACUCACUGGACAUGUAUUGACGCUGAGGUACGAAAGCGUGGGGAGCAAACAGGAUUAGAUA